UUCAGAACCAGGUGAUAGAGUAGAUGU
Molecule: non-coding RNA, 27 nt
Filed under: Mus musculus (house mouse)
Lineage: Eukaryota; Metazoa; Chordata; Mammalia; Rodentia; Muridae
Source: RNAcentral